Molecule: ribosomal RNA, 239 nt
Filed under: uncultured Veillonellaceae bacterium
Lineage: Bacteria; Bacillati; Bacillota; Negativicutes; Veillonellales; Veillonellaceae
Description: partial 16S ribosomal RNA
Rfam family: Bacterial small subunit ribosomal RNA
Source: RNAcentral
AACGCGUAAACAACCUGCCCUACGGAUGGGGACAACAGCUGGAAACGGCUGCUAAUACCGAAUACGUUCCGAAAGUCGCAUGACUAUCGGAAGAAAGGAUGGCCUCUAUUUAUAAGCUAUCGCCGGAGGAGGGGUUUGCGUCUGAUUAGCUAGUUGGAGGGGUAACGGCCCACCAAGGCGACGAUCAGUAGCCGGUCUGAGAGGAUGAACGGCCACAUUGGAACUGAGACACGGUCCAG